Molecule: small nucleolar RNA, 107 nt
Filed under: Gossypium barbadense (sea-island cotton)
Lineage: Eukaryota; Viridiplantae; Streptophyta; Magnoliopsida; Malvales; Malvaceae
Also listed under: 2 other names
Description: Plant small nucleolar RNA R71
Rfam family: Plant small nucleolar RNA R71
About the family: R71 is a member of the C/D box family of snoRNAs containing the C (UGAUGA) and D (CUGA) box motifs. Multiple nearly identical copies of this snoRNA have been identified in Arabidopsis, and it is thought to function as a 2'-O-ribose methylation guide for 18S ribosomal RNA.
Source: Rfam by way of RNAcentral
AACUCAAUGUGAGGACACCGUCUCAAUAAGUCCUUAUACCUCUCCUAUGCAUCAUAUAAGGUCUCUAAGUUGAUCUGCACAAAGAAGGAGAUACCAUUCAUCUACUU